ACAAUUUCUCAGAAUUCAGUCACCACAGCCCAGAUGAGAGGGUGCCAGGAGCUUCCAGAUCUGGAAUUGUCAGUGUCUAUGUGGAUACUGGGUCUUGCCUCACACCACUCACCUAUUGACUGGGGAUUACAAGCCAAAGGGUGAGCAAGCAAGGAGAUUGACAGCUCCUAGAAGAUAGAAUUCUCCACGGAGGGGGAGAUCAGAGGAAGAAAUUCGUUUUCUCCCUUCUUUAUUUUCCCUAAUUCCAUUGCCAGCAGUGGCUCCACAGUGAACCAACACAGAUCAUCUUUCAGCAGCCUUGUAUCUAUCAAUGGACAAUCAACUACCCACUGUGCUAAAUGAAGUCUUGCACUAGGUAUAAAAGUCAAAUAGAUUAAAGUGUAACUGUGAGCUGA
Peromyscus maniculatus bairdii (prairie deer mouse) is the source of this 395-nucleotide non-coding RNA. The record is from RefSeq and is a predicted model, not a curated record. NCBI's taxonomy places the organism in Eukaryota, Metazoa, Chordata, Mammalia, Rodentia, Cricetidae.